RNAcentral lists this ribosomal RNA (351 nucleotides) under Erwinia amylovora. RNAcentral describes it as "bacterial SSU rRNA". It matches the Rfam family "Bacterial small subunit ribosomal RNA", at positions 68 to 417 of the family's 1533-position model. Lineage: Bacteria; Pseudomonadati; Pseudomonadota; Gammaproteobacteria; Enterobacterales; Erwiniaceae. The record is from RNAcentral.
GGUAGCACAGAGAGCUUGCUCUUGGGUGACGAGUGGCGGACGGGUGAGUAAUGUCUGGGAAACUGCCCGAUGGAGGGGGAUAACUACUGGAAACGGUAGCUAAUACCGCAUAACGUCUACGGACCAAAGUGGGGGACCUUCGGGCCUCACACCAUCGGAUGUGCCCAGAUGGGAUUAGCUGGUAGGUGGGGUAACGGCUCACCUAGGCGACGAUCCCUAGCUGGUCUGAGAGGAUGACCAGCCACACUGGAACUGAGACACGGUCCAGACUCCUACGGGAGGCAGCAGUGGGGAAUAUUGCACAAUGGGCGCAAGCCUGAUGCAGCCAUGCCGCGUGUAUGAAGAAGGCCU